UGGUCGCCUCGUUCCGUUCGAUUCCAGAAAGCCGCGCCGGCCCCAGUCCCCAUGGGCUGAAGGCAGGUUGAGUUCUUCCCCAGGUCUGCGAGCCUCGAAGGCUUCUUUCAGACAGCAGACCCCUUAGAAGCGCAAGGCUGCUUUCUGACAAAGAAUCAAGUGUUCCUUUCAACCAGCCAAGGGACUGGUUUUCUCGCUGACCCUUUGACAGCUCCAGCCGGUCCCUCCAUUCGAGGUCCCUGACUUCCUGCAACAGACUGAGAUGGCCUUCUGAGCUUUUCCAGGGCUGACGACCACCUUCUUGAUACCUUCCCCUCUCUCGUUCUGAAUCCGUGCCCACCAGAUGGGGCCGUCUAGUUGCAGGAAAACAAGCUCAGGGCUCCCACUGAUUCUACAUGAUGGGAAUCCAGGCUUUCGGAGAUGAGGACUGGGAGGUCUCCAGACCACACAAGCCCCCUAUUUGCACUGGCCUUUGGAAUGAGCCUACAGCCUGCCUCCACUCCUCCUGGUACCCCAGCUGUUCUCAAGGAAUUGGCCAGAAGUCAGACUCCUUUCCCAGCUGUCCUCCACUUCUUUCCUGCCAGGCACCCUAGGCCCCAUGGUGGGAUUGGGCCUAUAGGCUGUGAUUUUCCACAUCCUUGUCAAACCUGUACUACCUGAAUGCCUAGAGGAAAAGAUACUGCCUUAAUUACUAUUAUGAGCA
RNAcentral lists this long non-coding RNA (703 nucleotides) under Homo sapiens (human). RNAcentral describes it as "HSALNT0378693". The record is from RNAcentral. Lineage: Eukaryota; Metazoa; Chordata; Mammalia; Primates; Hominidae.